RNAcentral lists this long non-coding RNA (418 nucleotides) under Equus asinus (donkey). RNAcentral's name for it is "lncRNA (ENSEASG00005031330.1)". The record is from RNAcentral. Lineage: Eukaryota; Metazoa; Chordata; Mammalia; Perissodactyla; Equidae.
AAAAAAGCUUACCCCUGCACUUGGCGCUUUCAGGCAAGGAUAACUUUAGCCGGAGAUUUGAAGGCGAGGAGGAGAGAGGCGGGCAUGUGGCCACUAUAUAUUGAACAAGUAACUGGCUGCAGGUGAGGAGGUUAGAUUCCAGGACAGGAACCCUCUUUAAGAAGGAGGUUGCUGGAUCCUCUGGGACCCCCAGUAUAUAUUUGUAUAUUCUAGUUGUGAGUGCUUCUGGUUGUGCUAUGUGGGACGCCGCCUCAGCAUGGCCUGAUGAGCGGUGCCAUGUCCACGCCCAGGAUCCGAACCAGCGAAAACCUGGGCUGCCCAAGUUGAGCAUAUGAACCUAACCUUGCAGCCACGGGGCCAGCCCCCAGGCAAAUUUGAAACUGCUUCCCGAGGGUCCCAGGAUAAAGGAGGAAGUGAG